UAGGGAUCUGGGUGGGGAAGUGGGAGAUAGUGAGUCUCAAAGGAAAUGCCCACAAGUAACUGAGAUGAAGAAAGCAGUCUUAUAUCUUUAGGACAUGCCCUUGGGCCAUGCACCUUGUAAAAUGAGGGAAAUCCACAAGCACAGGGGAGACUGCUGUAAAACUGCAGCUCCACCCUGGCUCCACCUUCAGUCAGGUCCCUAACUAUGCCUCUCCACAAAAAUUGGAUGACAUCCCAAGGAGGGUCUUCUCACUCUCCAGGUAGCCCACAUCCUCCCUUGAAUGUGGAUCUACUUUCUAAAUAAACCUUUGUCUAUGCCUUUCUCUGGUGCAUAAUGAAAUUCUUUUCCAUCAUGUUGAGAACCCUUUUGCUCCUGAGUAGAAGUUCCACUCCACUCUGUGAACUUCUUAGACCCUUUUCUGGAGACAUCUCUUCUCCUGUGACAAUAUCAAUCAUUAAAGGAAAUCAUAGAACAGGAAGAUGGAAAUUUCCAAGUGCAUGAAAAUACAAAAUUAAGGUUCCCUGCAGCCUUUCAAGUAAGAAGUCCAUUGAUGCAGACACCCCAGGAAGUAUCCCCAUGGCCCCCAAGCCAAAACUGUCAUGGGACUUCUGCUGAAAGAAGAACAGGGAGAGGCAGCAAUCCUGGCCUUGACCCUUCCAAGGUAUACUAAAGCACCUCUCCUUAGAUGAGGGCUGCCUGACUGUGCAGACCCAAGCACCUCUAAGGUAAGGAGAGGCAAAAUGCCUAACUUCUCUUGCACAUACUACCCUAGUAGUUAUGACAUCCAGGUCAGAAAAUUCAAAGACAGCCUCUAAUUGACCCUUCAUGUCCUGCUAACUAAUAUCCCUCAUCUGGAGGUCACAGUGUUGGGUCACUUUCCAUCUCUGGGAGAAAAAUUCACAAACCAUCUUCUUCUCAGAGACCAUUCUAUUAUGCAAGGUGUACACUAAGUGUCAAAUCACUGUGCCCUCCUACCCAACCUCCUACUCAAACCACAGCCCCUGAAGGGACAUGAUUCCAGUGUUCUUUCCUUCUCCAUGCCAUGCCAUUUACACCUGUGUUGAAAAGGGGUCCAAUGCCCUAGCACUGGCUACCAAGAGUAUUUCUAUCCGCACAGGAUAGCCUCAAAAAUCAUCCACAAGCAAAAAGUAUUCAUAUCUAGAUCAAAUACCAAUUGUUUCAUUACAAAUUUCUUAACUUGCAUGAGUUUAGAUUUCAAGAGAAUAACAAGACAUCAAGAAAGGAAAAUUACUGGAAAUUAUUACAAUAGGAUAAAAUUCCCAUUUUGCAUGGAGUUUCCAAUGGUAAAAAGACAAAAGAGAUUUACUAUUCUCCUUGGAAAACACGGUAAGAUAGAUAUGCUGCUACUUUCACAUUAGACCUUGCCUCGUAUUAUAUACUAUAUGUCUUUUUUUAAAAAAAGAUGAUUAUCAGUCCAACCUAAAUCAUAUCAUCUUAUCAGCAGAAUACUACUCUUUCUUCCUCCAGUGAAACAGGCUCAGCCUAUCUGCACUGUCUCCUGAGAGGUUGCUUCACUAGAGAAAAUAAUAAGUUUAUUAUCAGACAGUUCACACCAGUGUUUCAAUUCUACUCUCCCUUCCUCCCUGCCCCAUGUCUCCC
RNAcentral lists this long non-coding RNA (1620 nucleotides) under Marmota monax (woodchuck). Lineage: Eukaryota; Metazoa; Chordata; Mammalia; Rodentia; Sciuridae. The record is from RNAcentral.